This is a long non-coding RNA of Fukomys damarensis (Damara mole-rat), 2138 nucleotides long. RefSeq lists it as uncharacterized. The transcript is spliced from 4 exons. The record is from RefSeq and is a predicted model, not a curated record. NCBI's taxonomy places the organism in Eukaryota, Metazoa, Chordata, Mammalia, Rodentia, Bathyergidae.
CUCUGACCGCCGACUGUGGGAUCCGGAGCCCCCACGCGCCCUAGAACCCGGGCUCCCUGCGCUCUCCGGCCCUGGGACCUUGACCAGACCCGGGGCGCUGCUUUGUCUCGGCUUGGACGGAAAAUGACCAUGUUUAUUUUGGAUAUGUAAAGAAUACCUUGUAUAACCAAGCUGAAAUAGUGAAACAAAAUAUCAUUACCAGUUUCAUCAUCUGGAAAGAAGGAAGUCCUGAUAAAUUCUUGUUGAUGCCUUAUCCCCAACCUGGUACUCAAAGAAAGGGCACAGGGAAAGGAAAGCAAGAAUCUUUCUGCCUGCCCUUUGCAUACCCAGGGCUCCAGUGCCGAUGAAAAGAGUGCAAUCCUGAGGCCAAACUCAGCCUUCUACCCUUGACAUCACAGAAGCCUCUAGCACAACAUUCUACAUGUAGGAGACACCAGCUGAAAGCUGCUUGAAGAGCUGGAUGCUUCUCUAAGACUGUAGGAAGAUCAUGGGUUAAGACUGGAUGCAAGACUGUCAGGUUUUGUAUGAAAUACAUAUUCCUACUGCUGUUUUUCACUACCUCAAAUUUCAUCACCACUAUUUUCAUUCUUUGUCAGUAGUAAAGUAAUUCAGGAGAACCUCAGUACAGGCUCAGAAUGGUGAGACAUAACCCAGUUCUUUCUUUGGUCAUUGUAUCUAUAGAGGAAGAAGCAAUUUGAUUUUUGGUCUAUAGGGUGCUGUGACUAGACAGUGUUGAGAGCAGCUGAUAAUCACAUUCAUUUAAAAACCAAAGAUGUUCCUUCAAGAACUUCCUACAUGAAUUUACUUAGUAUGAGGGUUUAAGAUAGUUUAAGGCUGUGUGUAUUUGGGGUGAGAGCUAUGAAAUAAAUCCAAAGGCAAUUAUCAUAUCUAAAUCCUAUAUGUCUGGUUAGGACUGAGGCACAGAUGAGAAAAACUGUUAGAAAACUAUGAAAAAAAAUCUUAGAGAGCUGUAAUUAAAAUCAUAGGUUGAGGGAGUACUUCUUAAUCUCAGUUAUUAAUUACAGUUUUCAACAACUGCAUCUAUGUUAUCAACUGUACGUCUAUGCUGAUUCUUGAAUCCUUUAGGACAGACGUGUUUCAGCAGGUUAUGUGGAUUCAAAUCACUUUCAGGAGCUGAGUUGAACCAACGUAAUUUUAGGUAAAGACUAUAAACAACAAGGAAGACUUAUCCAUCCCUGUUUGCAGAAAACUGUCAAAAUCACUCAUCAAUAGUAAAACCAGACAAAUCAGCCAUGGUUACAGCCUGUUGUUACUUUCCCCUUAACCUUCCUUUCAGGAAUAGACUUCCCAGCAGCUCUGUGACCUGGGAAGGAGGCGGUCAAUCAAGGGGCACUGCCUCUCCCCAGAAGGUUGGGAAGGUAACACGGUAAAGGUCAACAGGGGUCACGUCCAUGGAGGUGGGGUGAGGAAGGUGCACUUUCUUUAUGAGAUCUCAAGCUGUGUAACCAAGAUCCUUCUCUUUUGCAUUAAAAAAAAAAAAAACAGCCGCCAGAGCAUGAAACACAUGAAACAAUCACCCAUUCUCACACAGAGGAAGAAACAAAGAGAUAAGAGAAUAUACUGCUGAAGAUAAAUUGAGCCCUAGGCUCAUCUGUCCUGAGUUUUCAAGUUGGAGCCAAUAAAUUCCUUUCUUUACUCCUUACACAGAAAAAAUUGGGCAGGGUUUCUCUCACUUGCAAGCAAAAGCCCGAUAGCUAUGGUUGGGUCUGGUUUGAGUUAGCUGCAUGGCUUUCUGCGUUGAAUCUAAUCCCCACUGUGAGGUGUUAAGAGGCUAGAAAUUUAAUUCGACUGUAGUGUUUAGAGGUGAGGACUUUAGGAAAGUGAUUAGGAAAAGAUGAGGUUAUUAGGGUGGGGCCCUCAAGAUUGAAUUCUGUAGUUUUAUAGAGACCACACAAACACACUUCCUCCCUGUCACACACACUCUCCCUGUUUCUUGCUAUGUUGGACUCUGCCAACAAGAAGGUUGUUCCCAGAUGGAAACGCUUGAAACUCUAGAACUGCAAGUAAAGAAACAUCCCUUCUUUUUAACUUGCCCAGGCUGUGGUAUUAUGAGGAAUAGAAAAUAACCCCAUUGCUUAUUUAAGCUAAGAUGCUUCAUGCGCAGAUAAAAAGAUUGC